Molecule: ribosomal RNA, 875 nt
Filed under: uncultured Nitrospira sp.
Lineage: Bacteria; Pseudomonadati; Nitrospirota; Nitrospiria; Nitrospirales; Nitrospiraceae
Description: bacterial SSU rRNA
Rfam family: Bacterial small subunit ribosomal RNA
Source: RNAcentral
CAAGUCGAGCGAGAUCUGACAGUGUAUCGUCAGGUCUAGCGGCAGACGGGUGAGUAAUACUUGGGCAAUCUGCCCUUAAGUGGGGGACAACCGGCCGAAAGGCUGGCUAAUACCCCAUAAGACCACAGGGAUGCAUAUCCUAGGGGUCAAAGCUCCGCAAGGGGCGCUAAAGGAGGAGCCCGAGUCCUAUCAUGGUAGUUGGCGGGGUAAUGGCCCACCAAGCCGUUGACGGGUAGCCGGCCUGAAAGGGCAACCGGCCACACUGGCACUGAGACACGGGCCAGACUCCUACGGGAGGCAGCAGUGGGGAAUUUUGGACAAUGGGGGCAACCCUGAUCCAGCGACGCCGCGUGAAGGAUGAAGGUCUUCGGAUUGUAAACUUCUUUUGAUGGAGAUGAAUGGCCUGGUGAAUAGCCAGGAGUGACAGUAUCCAUCGAAUAAGCCACGGCUAACUACGUGCCAGCAGCCGCGGUAAUACGUAGGUGGCAAGCGAUACUCGGAAUCACUAGGCGUAAAGCGCAGGUAGGAGGUUUAGUAAGUCUGUUGUGAAAGCUCCCGGCUUAACUGGGAGAGGUCAACGGAAACUGCUAGGCUAGAGUGUGGUAGAGGUAGCUGGAAUUCCCGGUGUAGCGGUGAAAUGCGUAGAUAUCGGGAGGAAUACCUAUGGCGAAAGCAGGCUACUGGACCAUCACUGACUCUGAUCUGCGAAAGCUAGGGGAGCAAACAGGAUUAGAUACCCUGGUAGUCCUAGCCCUAAACGAUGCUCAUUAGGUGUGGGAGGUAUCGACCCCUUCCGCGCCGUAGCUAACGCAUUAAAUGAGCCGCCUGGGGAGUACGGCCGCAAGGUUGAAACUCAAAGGAAUUGACGGGGGCCC